UGGUGGAGUGAUUUGUCUGGUUAAUUCCGUUAACGAACGAGACCUUAACCUGCUAAAUAGACACCGGGGUCAGGCCUUAGCCGCGAGGCAACGGGGUCAUGACCUCGGCUGUGCUUCUUAGAGGGACUUUGCGUAUCUAACGCACGGAAGUUUAAGGCAAUAACA
RNAcentral lists this ribosomal RNA (165 nucleotides) under uncultured eukaryote. Its description in RNAcentral is "partial 18S ribosomal RNA". It matches the Rfam family "Eukaryotic small subunit ribosomal RNA", at positions 1299 to 1458 of the family's 1831-position model. The record is from RNAcentral.